AGGAUUCCCCUAGUAAUGGCGAAUGAAGCGGGAACAGCUCAAAUUUAAAAUCUGCGUUGCUUGCGACGCCGAAUUGUAGUUUCUAGAAGCACUUUCUAGGCGAGUCGGCUCCGUCCAAGUUGCUUGGAACAGCACGUCAUAGAGGGUGACAACCCCGUCUGUGGCGGAAACGACCGCUCACGAUGUGUUUUCGACGAGUCGGGUUGUUUGGGAAUGCAGCCCAAAAUGGGUGGUAAACUCCAUCUAAAGCUAAAUAUUGGCACGAGACCGAUAGCGAACAAGUACCGUGAGGGAAAGAUGAAAAGCACUUUGAAAAGAGAGUUAAAAAGUACGUGAAACCGUUAAAAGGGAAACGGAUGGGGUUAGCAAUGCACCUUGCGAGAUUCAGCCGGGCGUCGCGUCGGGCGAGCGGUUUGCGGAUCUGAAUGGACCGUGGCCGUUCGGUUCGGCGCCUCUACCGUCGCACUUCUCGCGGGUGCGCGCCAACGUCGGUUAGCCGUGGGUUACAAAGGUUCGGGCAAGGUAGGCUUUUCCCUUCGGGGAAGAGUUGUUAUAGGCCUGUGCUGUAUGACCCGCGGGUGACCGAGGAGUCGCGGUGCAUGCCUUUUUUGGCUAGGGUCCCGUCUUGCCGGUCGGUAGUCAACUGUGGUGGACUGCAUGCAGUGCACUGCGACUGCUGCCGGUCGCUGAGGCGGUGAUUUCGUACUAUGCGCCAAGGACGUUGGCGGUCACAUGGCCUCAUUCGACCCGUCUUGAAACACGGACCAGGGAGUCUAACAUGUGCGCGAGUCUUUGAUUGAAGGAAACUCGCAGGCGCACAUGGAAGUCGGAAUCCGCUAAGGAGUGUGUAACAACUCACCUGCCGAAGCAACUAGCCCUGAAAAUGGAUGGCGCUCAAGCGUCGCACCUAUACCGUGCCGUCGGAGCAAAUGCUAAGCUUCGACGAGUAGGAGGGCGUGGGGGUCGUGACGCAGCCUUUGGCGCGAGCCUGGGUGAAACGGCCUCUAGUGCAGAUCUUGGUGGUAGUAGCAAAUAUUCAAAUGAGAGCUUUGAAGACCGAAGUGGAGAAAGGUUCCAUGUGAACAGCAGUUGGACAUGGGUUAGUCGAUCCUAAGAGAUAGGGAAAUUCCGUUUUCAAGCGCUCGAUCUCGAGCCGUCUAUCGAAAGGGAAUCGGGUUAAUAUUCCCGAACCGGAACACGGAUAGAGCCGCUUUCGGGCGGCGGGUGCGGUGACGCAAACGAACCCGGAGACGCCGGCGGGAGCCCUGGGAAGAGUUCUCUUUUCUUUUUAACGGACUUUCACCCUGAAAUCAGCUUGCCUGGAGAUAGGGUUUGAUGUCCGGUAAAGCACCACACUUCUUGUGGUGUCCGGUGCGCUCCCGACGGCCCUUGAAAAUCCGGGGGAGACGGUGAUUUUCGUGUCCGGUCGUACUCAUAACCGCAGCAGGUCUCCAAGGUGAGCAGCCUCUGGUUGAUAGAACAAUGUAGGUAAGGGAAGUCGGCAAAAUAGAUCCGUAACCUCGGCAGGUGUCCUAAGGCGAGCUCAAUGAGAACAGAAAUCUCAUGUAGAACAAAAGGGUAAAAGCUCACUUGAUUUUGAUUUUCAGUAUGAAUACAAACUGUGAAAGCAUGGCCUAUCGAUCCUUUAGUCUUUAAGAGUUUUAAGCUAGAGGUGUCAGAAAAGUUACCACAGGGAUAACUGGCUUGUGGCAGCCAAGCGUUCAUAGCGACGUUGCUUUUUGAUCCUUCGAUGUCGGCUCUUCCUAUCAUUGCGAAGCAGAAUUCGCCAAGUGUUGGAUUGUUCACCCACCAAUAGGGAACGUGAGCUGGGUUUAGACCGUCGUGAGACAGGUUAGUUUUACCCUACUGAUGAAGUGUUGUUGCAAUAGUAAUUCUGCUCAGUACGAGAGGAACCGCAGAUUCAGACAAUUGGCAUUUGCACUUGGCUGAAAAGCCAAUGGUGCGAAGCUACCAUCUGUUGGAUUAUGA
This 1989-nucleotide ribosomal RNA is filed under the name Actinothoe sphyrodeta. RNAcentral's name for it is "eukaryotic LSU rRNA". It matches the Rfam family "Eukaryotic large subunit ribosomal RNA", at positions 71 to 3119 of the family's 3401-position model. The record is from RNAcentral. Lineage: Eukaryota; Metazoa; Cnidaria; Anthozoa; Actiniaria; Sagartiidae.